RNAcentral lists this ribosomal RNA (497 nucleotides) under uncultured bacterium. RNAcentral's name for it is "partial 16S ribosomal RNA". It matches the Rfam family "Bacterial small subunit ribosomal RNA", at positions 28 to 507 of the family's 1533-position model. The record is from RNAcentral.
GAUGAACGCUGGCGGCGUGCCUAAUACAUGCAAGUCGAGCGAACGGACGAGAAGCUUGCUUUUCUGAUGUUAGCGGCGGACGGGUGAGUAACACGUGGAUAACCUACCUAUAAGACUGGGAUAACUUCGGGAAACCGGAGCUAAUACCGGAUAAUAUUUUGAACCGCAUGGUUCAAAAGUGAAAGACGGUCUUGCUGUCACUUAUAGAUGGAUCCGCGCUGCAUUAGCUAGUUGGUAAGGUAACGGCUUACCAAGGCAACGACGCAUAGCCGAUCUGAGAGGGUGAUCGGCCACACUGGAACUGAGACACGGUCCAGACUCCUACGGGAGGCAGCAGUAGGGAAUCUUCCGCAAUGGGCGAAAGCCUGACGGAGCAACGCCGCGUGAGUGAUGAAGGUCUUCGGAUCGUAAAACUCUGUUAUUAGGGAAGAACAUAUGUGUAAGUAACUGUGCACAUCUUGACGGUACCUAAUCAGAAAGCCACGGCUAACUACGUG